RNAcentral lists this ribosomal RNA (429 nucleotides) under Bacteroidota bacterium. Its description in RNAcentral is "Bacteroidetes bacterium partial 16S ribosomal RNA". It matches the Rfam family "Bacterial small subunit ribosomal RNA", at positions 355 to 776 of the family's 1533-position model. Lineage: Bacteria; Pseudomonadati; Bacteroidota. The record is from RNAcentral.
UAGGGAAUCUUCGGCAAUGGGGGGAACCCUGACCGAGCAACGCCGCGUGAGUGAAGAAGGUUUUCGGAUCGUAAAGCUCUGUUGUUAAGGAAGAACGAGUGUGAGAAUGGAGAGUUCAUGCUGUGACGGUACUUAACCAGAAAGGGACGGCUAACUACGUGCCAGCAGCCGCGGUAAUACGUAGGUCCCGAGCGUUGUCCGGAUUUAUUGGGCGUAAAGCGAGCGCAGGCGGUUAGAAAAGUCUGAAGUGAAAGGCAGUGGCUCAACCAUUGUAGGCUUUGGAAACUGUUUAACUUGAGUGCAGAAGGGGAGAGUGGAAUUCCAUGUGUAGCGGUGAAAUGCGUAGAUAUAUGGAGGAACACCGGUGGCGAAAGCGGCUCUCUGGUCUGUAACUGACGCUGAGGCUCGAAAGCGUGGGGAGCGAACAGG